Molecule: ribosomal RNA, 152 nt
Filed under: Klebsiella pneumoniae subsp. pneumoniae
Lineage: Bacteria; Pseudomonadati; Pseudomonadota; Gammaproteobacteria; Enterobacterales; Enterobacteriaceae
Description: partial 16S ribosomal RNA
Rfam family: Bacterial small subunit ribosomal RNA
Source: RNAcentral
GCCCGUCACACCAUGGGAGUGGGUUGCAAAAGAAGUAGGUAGCUUAACCUUCGGGAGGGCGCUUACCACUUUGUGAUUCAUGACUGGGGUGAAGUCGUAACAAGGUAACCGUAGGGGAACCUGCGGUUGGAUCACCUCCUUACCUUAAAGAA